Molecule: ribosomal RNA, 758 nt
Filed under: uncultured Thermaceae bacterium
Lineage: Bacteria; Thermotogati; Deinococcota; Deinococci; Thermales; Thermaceae
Description: bacterial SSU rRNA
Rfam family: Bacterial small subunit ribosomal RNA
Source: RNAcentral
GUCUUUCAAGUCCGAUGCUAAAGACUGGGGCUCAACCCCAGGGGUGCGUUGGAUACUGUGAGGCUAGACGGUCGGAGGGGGUAGCGGAAUUUCCGGAGUAGCGGUGAAAUGCGCAGAUACCGGAAGGAACGCCAAUAGCGAAGGCAGCUACCUGGACGACUUGUGACGCUGAGGCGCGAAAGCGUGGGGAGCAAACCGGAUUAGAUACCCGGGUAGUCCACGCCCUAAACCAUGAGUGCUGGGUGUCCGGCUUCUGCUGGGUGCCGUAGCUAACGCGCUAAGCACUCCGCCUGGGAAGUACGCACGCAAGCGUGAAACUCAAAGGAAUUGACGGGGGCCCGCACAAGCGGUGGAGCAUGUGGUUUAAUUCGAAGCGACGCGAAGAACCUUACCAGGCCUUGACAUGCCCGGAACCCCUCUGAAAGGAGGGGGUGCCCGCAAGGGAGCCGGGACACAGGUGCUGCAUGGCCGUCGUCAGCUCGUGUCGUGAGAUGUUGGGUUAAGUCCCGCAACGAGCGCAACCCCUAUCCCUAGUUGCCAGCAGUUCGGCUGGGCACUCUAUGGAGACUGCCUGCGAAAGCAGGAGGAAGGCGGGGAUGACGUCUGGUCCGCAUGGCCCUUACGGCCUGGGCGACACACGUGCUACAACGCCAAGGACAGAGCGCUGCUACCUCGCGAGAGGACGCCAAUCGCAAAAACCUUGGCUCAGUUCGGAUUGGAGUCUGCAACUCGACUCCAUGAAGCCGGAAUCGCUAGUA